Molecule: ribosomal RNA, 250 nt
Filed under: uncultured archaeon
Lineage: Archaea
Description: partial 16S ribosomal RNA
Rfam family: Archaeal small subunit ribosomal RNA
Source: RNAcentral
GAUACCCCCGUAGUCCUAGCCGUAAACGAUACUCGCUAGGUGUCGGCCACGGUGCGACCGUUGUCGGUGCCGUAGGGAAGCCGUGAAGCGAGCCACCUGGGAAGUACGGCCGCAAGGCUGAAACUUAAAGGAAUUGGCGGGGAGCACCACAACGGGUGGAGCCUGCGGUUUAAUUGGACUCAACGCCGGGAAGCUCACCGGAUAAGACAGCGGAAUGAUUGCCGGGCUGAAGACCCUGCAUGACCAGCUG